UCUGUUAACAACUUCAAGGAGGAUGGGGAUAAUGAUUGGUUUAUGGACUCAUGGCAUCUUCAUCAUAUAGUGUUGAGGGCACAUGCUCUUUGAGUUGUAUGUACUCUUACUUCCAGUGUCUCUAUAUAUAUUGUUGUGUGUUUGGAUCUUCCUCUUGCAGGUCUCCUGGAUCAGUCCUUUGGAGCUGCCUCAUUUUCUCCUUUAUAUUCAGGACUUUGCUGGUACUUACUUAGGGAUGUUGUGGGUUGAGUGACUGUGAGCCUCCACAGUUAGUAUUGCGAUGGAGAUUAUUGAGAGUUGUCAAUGCUGGUCUCUUGUAGGGAGGAGGGUUGAGAUUGUGAGGCUUUAUAGCUAGGUUUUUGUGGGUUGAGUGAUGGUGAGCCAUAUAGUUUAUCUAAUUCUUUUCUGCAGGUUGUCAAGCUGGUCCUAAUUGUAAGGGAGUUUUUUUUUGUUGAGGGUUGAGUGAUUGGUUAGCCCUCAUAAAUUUUUUUGGAGUGCUGUGUGUUGCAUCUUGAGGGUUGAGUGAUUGAGGACUAUUUGUUUCUGUGGGUCUACUCUACCCAGUCUUGCUGUCUGUUUGUAAUGAAUAUUUGUCAGUGUGUCCUUGCUGAGUUGUUACACAAAGGUUAUUGUAUCUAUUCAAACCCCCCCCCCAUAGGUCUAUAAUAUGUUGUAGUUCAAGUGUACAUCUGCAUUUGUCCUGGGGUUGGUCUUGGCAGAAGCUUGCUGGGAUGGACUAUGUUUCUAUUGGUUGUUGUUCUGCUGGCUGUGGUAUAUGCUGAAUUUUGCUACUGUUGAGUUGAAAUUUGUGUAGUUCAUGUAUAGAUACUGCCCAUGGAUGGGUGUAUAUGGUUCUCUGCUGGUUGUUGAGUCUGUGGCUCCACUUGUGUGGCUUUGCUGGUGCUGCUGCCUAUUGUCUGCUGUCUGCUAUCAUACUGACUUUGGUCUUAGCUGUGUCUGUGGUUCAUGCUGCCAUGAUGUUGCUACUAUAUUUCCUUCCCUGUAGCAGUGUUGUUUUCUUUAUAGUGCAUGCUCUGGUGCUGUCUGCAGUUGCUUUCUUCUUGUAUUUCUGAACUGUAUGCUGCCCAACCUUUGUUUUGUUACUGUUUGUUGUUGUCUUCCUGCUGGUAAGAGGUGGCUGAUCUGCUUGGUUGGUGCAGCAAAUUGGGCUAGUUUUUUUAUUGGGCUCUGUUUUUUGCUGAUCCUAAUGGACUUAGUUUGCAUUUUUUUGUGUUGUUUUUCUGUCUUUUUUGCGUCUUUUGUGUCAGUUUAUGUUCGUUUGAUGACAAUGUUGUCUGGCUAAAGAGCCUUUUGUUUUUUUCUUUGUGUCUGUUGUUAGUUCUGUGGUGCCUGAGGGAUGCCUCUUGUAAACCUAUAUAUGUUAUUGUUUUUAAUUUAUAACUUACUUACCUUAAAAAAAAAAAGAAAAAAAAAAACACAGUUUUGGCUCUAUGUUUUGUGAUUUAGUAAUUUCCUUCAAUAGUUUCAUCUUGUUUUGCAGGUCUAUGAGGAUGAAACAGUUUUGCAGGCAUUUAAAUUGAUGAGAUAAAAGGGAGUUGGUGGAGGUACCAGUGGUUGAAAGUGGUGGAAGAAAGACAAUCGGUAAUAUAAGUAUUAGAGAUGUUCAGUUCCUUUUAAUUGCACCCGAGAUCUACAAGAACUACAGGGGAAGCACUACAAGAUGAGAGGAUUAAUGGAGGGGCAUUCAUAGGCACUGAUGGUCUUCAAU
Camellia sinensis is the source of this 1729-nucleotide non-coding RNA. The record is from RefSeq and is a predicted model, not a curated record. Lineage: Eukaryota; Viridiplantae; Streptophyta; Magnoliopsida; Ericales; Theaceae.